UUUAAACUCUACAAGCUUUACCCUCAGGGGCCACGCGACCUCCUGUAUUAAAGCUCCUUCCUUCUGCUCCCCACGUUUCCACUGGGGCAAGGUGAACAGUCCCAAGGGUCUUUCUGC
RNAcentral lists this long non-coding RNA (117 nucleotides) under Cavia porcellus (domestic guinea pig). RNAcentral's name for it is "lncRNA (ENSCPOG00000039415.1)". Lineage: Eukaryota; Metazoa; Chordata; Mammalia; Rodentia; Caviidae. The record is from RNAcentral.